GGGUUGUGAGGUUAAGCGACUAAGCGUACACGGUGGAUGCCCUGGCAGUCAGAGGCGAUGAAGGACGUGCUAAUCUGCGAUAAGCGUCGGUAAGGUGAUAUGAACCGUUAUAACCGGCGAUUUCCGAAUGGGGAAACCCAGUGUGAUUCGUCACACUAUCAUUAACUGAAUCCAUAGGUUAAUGAGGCGAACCGGGGGAACUGAAACAUCUAAGUACCCCGAGGAAAAGAAAUCAACCGAGAUUCCCCCAGUAGCGGCGAGCGAACGGGGAGGAGCCCAGAGCCUGAAUCAGUGUGUGUGUUAGUGGAAGCGUCUGGAAAGGCGCGCGAUACAGGGUGACAGCCCCGUACACAAAAAUGCACAUGCUGUGAGCUCGAUGAGUAGGGCGGGACACGUGGUAUCCUGUCUGAAUAUGGGGGGACCAUCCUCCAAGGCUAAAUACUCCUGACUGACCGAUAGUGAACCAGUACCGUGAGGGAAAGGCGAAAAGAACCCCGGCGAGGGGAGUGAAAAAGAACCUGAAACCGUGUACGUACAAGCAGUGGGAGCACGCUUAGGCGUGUGACUGCGUACCUUUUGUAUAAUGGGUCAGCGACUUAUAUUCUGUAGCAAGGUUAACCGAAUAGGGGAGCCGAAGGGAAACCGAGUCUUAACUGGGCGUUAAGUUGCAGGGUAUAGACCCGAAACCCGGUGAUCUAGCCAUGGGCAGGUUGAAGGUUGGGUAACACUAACUGGAGGACCGAACCGACUAAUGUUGAAAAAUUAGCGGAUGACUUGUGGCUGGGGGUGAAAGGCCAAUCAAACCGGGAGAUAGCUGGUUCUCCCCGAAAGCUAUUUAGGUAGCGCCUCGUGAAUUCAUCUCCGGGGGUAGAGCACUGUUUCGGCAAGGGGGUCAUCCCGACUUACCAACCCGAUGCAAACUGCGAAUACCGGAGAAUGUUAUCACGGGAGACACACGGCGGGUGCUAACGUCCGUCGUGAAGAGGGAAACAACCCAGACCGCCAGCUAAGGUCCCAAAGUCAUGGUUAAGUGGGAAACGAUGUGGGAAGGCCCAGACAGCCAGGAUGUUGGCUUAGAAGCAGCCAUCAUUUAAAGAAAGCGUAAUAGCUCACUGGUCGAGUCGGCCUGCGCGGAAGAUGUAACGGGGCUAAACCAUGCACCGAAGCUGCGGCAGCGACACUAUGUGUUGUUGGGUAGGGGAGCGUUCUGUAAGCCUGUGAAGGUGUACUGUGAGGUAUGCUGGAGGUAUCAGAAGUGCGAAUGCUGACAUAAGUAACGAUAAAGCGGGUGAAAAGCCCGCUCGCCGGAAGACCAAGGGUUCCUGUCCAACGUUAAUCGGGGCAGGGUGAGUCGACCCCUAAGGCGAGGCCGAAAGGCGUAGUCGAUGGGAAACAGGUUAAUAUUCCUGUACUUGGUGUUACUGCGAAGGGGGGACGGAGAAGGCUAUGUUGGCCGGGCGACGGUUGUCCCGGUUUAAGCGUGUAGGCUGGUUUUCCAGGCAAAUCCGGAAAAUCAAGGCUGAGGCGUGAUGACGAGGCACUACGGUGCUGAAGCAACAAAUGCCCUGCUUCCAGGAAAAGCCUCUAAGCAUCAGGUAACAUCAAAUCGUACCCCAAACCGACACAGGUGGUCAGGUAGAGAAUACCAAGGCGCUUGAGAGAACUCGGGUGAAGGAACUAGGCAAAAUGGUGCCGUAACUUCGGGAGAAGGCACGCUGAUAUGUAGGUGAAGCGACUUGCUCGUGGAGCUGAAAUCAGUCGAAGAUACCAGCUGGCUGCAACUGUUUAUUAAAAACACAGCACUGUGCAAACACGAAAGUGGACGUAUACGGUGUGACGCCUGCCCGGUGCCGGAAGGUUAAUUGAUGGGGUCAGCGCAAGCGAAGCUCUUGAUCGAAGCCCCGGUAAACGGCGGCCGUAACUAUAACGGUCCUAAGGUAGCGAAAUUCCUUGUCGGGUAAGUUCCGACCUGCACGAAUGGCGUAAUGAUGGCCAGGCUGUCUCCACCCGAGACUCAGUGAAAUUGAACUCGCUGUGAAGAUGCAGUGUACCCGCGGCAAGACGGAAAGACCCCGUGAACCUUUACUAUAGCUUGACACUGAACAUUGAGCCUUGAUGUGUAGGAUAGGUGGGAGGCUUUGAAGUGUGGACGCCAGUCUGCAUGGAGCCGACCUUGAAAUACCACCCUUUAAUGUUUGAUGUUCUAACGUUGACCCGUAAUCCGGGUUGCGGACAGUGUCUGGUGGGUAGUUUGACUGGGGCGGUCUCCUCCUAAAGAGUAACGGAGGAGCACGAAGGUUGGCUAAUCCUGGUCGGACAUCAGGAGGUUAGUGCAAUGGCAUAAGCCAGCUUGACUGCGAGCGUGACGGCGCGAGCAGGUGCGAAAGCAGGUCAUAGUGAUCCGGUGGUUCUGAAUGGAAGGGCCAUCGCUCAACGGAUAAAAGGUACUCCGGGGAUAACAGGCUGAUACCGCCCAAGAGUUCAUAUCGACGGCGGUGUUUGGCACCUCGAUGUCGGCUCAUCACAUCCUGGGGCUGAAGUAGGUCCCAAGGGUAUGGCUGUUCGCCAUUUAAAGUGGUACGCGAGCUGGGUUUAGAACGUCGUGAGACAGUUCGGUCCCUAUCUGCCGUGGGCGCUGGAGAAUUGAGGGGGGCUGCUCCUAGUACGAGAGGACCGGAGUGGACGCAUCACUGGUGUUCGGGUUGUCAUGCCAAUGGCACUGCCCGGUAGCUAAAUGCGGAAGAGAUAAGUGCUGAAAGCAUCUAAGCACGAAACUUGCCCCGAGAUGAGUUCUCCCUGACUCCUUGAGAGUCCUGAAGGAACGUUGAAGACGACGACGUUGAUAGGCCGGGUGUGUAAGCGCAGCGAUGCGUUGAGCUAACCGGUACUAAUGAACCGUGAGGCUUAACCUUACAACGCCGAAG
This 2924-nucleotide ribosomal RNA is filed under the name Escherichia coli. RNAcentral's name for it is "23S ribosomal RNA". It matches the Rfam family "Bacterial large subunit ribosomal RNA". Lineage: Bacteria; Pseudomonadati; Pseudomonadota; Gammaproteobacteria; Enterobacterales; Enterobacteriaceae. The record is from RNAcentral.